Molecule: ribosomal RNA, 18 nt
Filed under: Phomopsis sp. ZH5-C1
Lineage: Eukaryota; Fungi; Ascomycota; Sordariomycetes; Diaporthales; Diaporthaceae
Description: partial 18S ribosomal RNA
Source: RNAcentral
UCGUUGGUGACCAGCGGA